GACGAACGCUGGCGGCGUGCUUAACACAUGCAAGUCGAACGGAAAGGCCCUGCGUUUGCGGGGUGCUCGAGUGGCGAACGGGUGAGUAAAACGUGAGUAUCCCGCCCUUGACAUUGGGGUAACUUUAGGAAACUGGGGCUAAUAUCGGGUAGGAGCUCCUGCUGCGUGGUGGGGGAUGGAAAGUUCCGGCCUUGGGGGAUGGACUCGCGGCUUAUCAGCUUGUUGGUGGGGUAGUGGCUUCCCAAGGCUUUGACGGGUAGCCCGCCUGAGAGGGUGGACGGCCACAUUGGUCCUGCGAUACGGCCCAGACUCCUACGUGAGGCAGCAGUGGAGAACCUUGCGCAGUGGGCGGAAGCGUGUGACGGCGGCGUCGGGUGCGGAAUGACGGCUUUCGGGUUAUGAACCACUUUCGCCUGUGCCGAGGCGUGAGUGACGGUAAUGGGUCAGGAAGCGCCGGCUAACUACGUG
Molecule: ribosomal RNA, 468 nt
Filed under: uncultured bacterium
Lineage: Bacteria
Description: partial 16S ribosomal RNA
Rfam family: Bacterial small subunit ribosomal RNA
Source: RNAcentral